Molecule: long non-coding RNA, 980 nt
Filed under: Homo sapiens (human)
Lineage: Eukaryota; Metazoa; Chordata; Mammalia; Primates; Hominidae
Description: ncRNA involved in NHEJ oncogenic ligation efficiency
Source: RNAcentral
GAGCUUCCUGGCUGCUUUGUUUACCUAAUCAAGCCUGGGCAAUGGCGGGUGCCCCUCCUCCAGCCUCGCUGCCGCCUUGCAGUUUGAUCUCAGACUGCUGUGCUAGCAAUCAGCGAGACUCCGUGGGCGUAGGACCCUCUGAGCCAGGUGUGGGAUAUAAUCUCGUGGUGCGCCGUUUUUUAAGCCCGUCGGAAAAGCACAGUAUUCGGGUGGGAGUGACCCGAUUUUCCAGUUUCAAACAUCUUCAAGGCAGAAACGUGUUGUAUUUGCAUGCUGUUUAGAAGGCAGUGUACUGAAUAGUACCAGUUUUUUCAGAGACAAAUAUGGUGUACUUAUUUGAAAAGAAAGGAUGAUACACAUACAUAGCCAUCCAAAAAAUCCUGCAACCAGUAGCAAAUUAUAUUACACAUUGGACACAUCCUAAAUGAUGCAAGGUUGCUAAUUCUCUCUGUUGGUAAUAUCUUUUGAUGCUGUUGUGUCCAGAAUUGAUUCAUUCCUGUGGGUUCUUGGUCUCACUGACUUCAAGAAUAAAGCUGCGGACCCUAGUGUUAUUAAUCCAUGUUGUGAGAAGGGAGGUGAAUAAAGGAGGUGUGCUAAGACACAAAUCUGCUGUUGCAGUCACAGGAUGAUUCAAUGAAGCCGGCUGGCCAUAUGCAGGCCUCCUUGGACUCCUUCACCCGCUAAUAAUGGAGAGUUGCAGAAUUCUCAGUUGAGCACAAAGAGUGAACUGAUUCAAAAGGUGUGACUGAUCACUUGCACAUGCUACUGCCAAUUAUUCCUUCAGCUAGAGCUUAUGGGAUAGUUUUCCUCAACUAACUGUAUACUGACGGUAGUAACUUGGUAUGAAGAUCUGGAAAAGGACACAUGUGGUAAUAAGACUUCCUAAAUUUCAGUUUUGAACUCCGUAAAAUGUACUAACUGAACCUAGACUAACUACUAUAGAAACAUGGGAUCCAGAGGCAAUCAUACAUUUCAUAUAU